AACCAUAGAAACCUGCGGAGUACCUGCGGAGGGAUCAUUAUAGUAUAUGGAAUCUCCAUUCUAUAAACCCACUCUGCGUAUCUUGUAACUGUUGCUUCCAUGGGACUUGGUUCCGCCACACCGGCUUCACGGCUGGUGAGCGCCCAUGGAAGGAGAAACAAAACUCUUCUUUGAAAUGUAGUCAGUCCGAACAAGUUUUUAUAAACGUUAAAACUUUUAACAAUGGAUCUCAGAUCGGAA
This 240-nucleotide unclassified non-coding RNA is filed under the name soil metagenome. Its description in RNAcentral is "partial contains 5.8S ribosomal RNA, internal transcribed spacer 2, and large subunit ribosomal RNA". The record is from RNAcentral.